CUAUAAUGCAAGUCGAGCGGACAGAUGGGAGCUUGCUCCCUGAUGUUAGCGGCGGACGGGUGAGUAACACGUGGGUAACCUGCCUGUAAGACUGGGAUAACUCCGGGAAACCGGGGCUAAUACCGGAUGGUUGUUUGAACCGCAUGGUUCAGACAUAAAAGGUGGCUUCGGCUACCACUUACAGAUGGACCCGCGGCGCAUUAGCUAGUUGGUGAGGUAACGGCUCACCAAGGCGACGAUGCGUAGCCGACCUGAGAGGGUGAUCGGCCACACUGGGACUGAGACACGGCCCAGACUCCUACGGGAGGCAGCAGUAGGGAAUCUUCCGCAAUGGACGAAAGUCUGACGGAGCAACGCCGCGUGAGUGAUGAAGGUUUUCGGAUCGUAAAGCUCUGUUGUUAGGGAAGAACAAGUGCCGUUCAAAUAGGGCGGCACCUUGACGGUACCUAACCAGAAAGCCACGGCUAACUACGUGCCAGCAGCCGCGGUAAUACGUAGGUGGCAAGCGUUGUCCGGAAUUAUUGGGCGUAAAGGGCUCGCAGGCGGUUUCUUAAGUCUGAUGUGAAAGCCCCCGGCUCAACCGGGGAGGGUCAUUGGAAACUGGGGAACUUGAGUGCAGAAGAGGAGAGUGGAAUUCCACGUGUAGCGGUGAAAUGCGUAGAGAUGUGGAGGAACACCAGUGGCGAAGGCGACUCUCUGGUCUGUAACUGACGCUGAGGAGCGAAAGCGUGGGGAGCGAACAGGAUUAGAUACCCUGGUAGUCCACGCCGUAACGAUGAGUGCUAAGUGUUAGGGGGUUUCCGCCCCUUAGUGCUGCAGCUAACGCAUUAAGCACUCCGCCUGGGGAGUACGGUCGCAAGACUGAAACUCAAAGGAAUUGACGGGGGCCCGCACAAGCGGUGGAGCAUGUGGUUUAAUUCGAAGCAACGCGAAGAACCUUACCAGGUCUUGACAUCCUCUGACAUCCUAGAGAUAGGACGUCCCCUUCGGGGGCAGAGUGACAGUGUGCAUGAUUGUCGUCAGCUCGUGUCGUGAGAUGUGGGUUAGUCCCGCACGAGCGCACCC
This 1065-nucleotide ribosomal RNA is filed under the name Bacillus sp. MK9. Its description in RNAcentral is "bacterial SSU rRNA". It matches the Rfam family "Bacterial small subunit ribosomal RNA", at positions 51 to 1103 of the family's 1533-position model. The record is from RNAcentral. Lineage: Bacteria; Bacillati; Bacillota; Bacilli; Caryophanales; Bacillaceae.